RNAcentral lists this ribosomal RNA (104 nucleotides) under Afipia sp. The record is from RNAcentral. Lineage: Bacteria; Pseudomonadati; Pseudomonadota; Alphaproteobacteria; Hyphomicrobiales; Nitrobacteraceae.
UAGCGAAGAGCCUCAACCCGAUCCCAUUCCGAACUCGGCCGUUAAACUCUUCAGCGCCAAUGGUACUAUGGCUUAAGCCCUGGGAGAGUAGGUCGCUGCCAGGC